This 506-nucleotide ribosomal RNA is filed under the name uncultured bacterium. RNAcentral's name for it is "partial 16S ribosomal RNA". It matches the Rfam family "Bacterial small subunit ribosomal RNA", at positions 29 to 523 of the family's 1533-position model. The record is from RNAcentral.
AGUGAACGCUGGCGGUAGGCCUAACACAUGCAAGUCGAACGGCAGCACAGGAAAGCUUGCUCUCUGGGUGGCGAGUGGCGGACGGGUGAGGAAUACAUCGGAAUCUACUCUGUCGUGGGGGAUAACGUAGGGAAACUUACGCUAAUACCGCAUACGACCUACGGGUGAAAGCAGGGGACCUUCGGGCCUUGCGCGAUUGAAUGAGCCGAUGUCGGAUUAGCUAGUUGGCGGGGUAAAGGCCCACCAAGGCGACGACCCGUAGCUGGUCUGAGAAGAUGAUCAGCCACACUGGAACUGAGACACGGUCCAGACUUCUACGGGAGGCAGCAGUGGGGAAUAUUGGACAAUGGGCGCAAGCCUGAUCCAGCCAUACCGCGUGGGUGAAGAAGGCCUUCGGGUUGUAAAGCCCUUUUGUUGGGAAAGAAAUCCAGCUGGCUAAUACCCGGUUGGGAUGACGGUACCCAAAGAAUAAGCACCGGCUAACUUCGUGCCAGCCGCCGCCGUAA